This is a long non-coding RNA of Oreochromis aureus, 1100 nucleotides long. The record is from Ensembl. Lineage: Eukaryota; Metazoa; Chordata; Actinopteri; Cichliformes; Cichlidae.
GUUCAGUUUACCCCGGAUAUGCACCGUGCCGCUUGUCUUUCAGACGGCCACAGGAAUAUCAACAAAAACACAGUGUUUUCAUGGGCCACGGCGAGUCCACAAAUUUUCACUGCAGUCAAGAGAAUCACCGUGACGUCUGCCGUUCGAUCACCUGAUCUGGACUCGACCUCCGCUGACAACAAACACCAGCCGAUCAUUAGUUGCCCCGGCAUCCUCCACCAAAUGAAGCGAGAUCGAUCAACUUCAGACCAGACAACAAACGACGGAGGCUUCCAGAAAAGUGCAAUCAAACGAUGGGUUUAUUAGCAGCGGAGAAAACAUAUCAGGAUAUGUCCUCUGACAAAAAUACAUGUGAAGAACAUUUAUAAGGCACCGGGGUAUCCGCCCCCCCCAUGGCGUCAACACAAGUCAAGAGUUCAUCACGUACAGUCAAUAUCUUGUACAUCUUUAAUAGUUAUAAACAGACAUGGACCAGACAUAUAACUUCCUGUUUCUGCAACACCUUUAAUGCACAAUCAUAAUCUUAAGCCUUCAGAGUGUCUGAGGGCUGAUCAUUGCCUCCCGUCAUCUGCUACUAAGUAGGUAAAAGGGCAGCCAGUUACAAAAAGGUCAAAGACACUUGGGCCUGCGCUCAGGCCUGUUGCUAGAUUAAUAUGUGUAAUGUAAGCAUGCAUGUAAUCAACCUGCUAUGUUCUCAUCUUCCCUCAACAUGUAUCAUCUGGACACUCUCACCAGUGAAGCUUAAAACCCUCUUGGAUGGAACAUCAACUCUAAACAAGCACAGUUAUGCAUUGUGUAUAGAAUGAUCAUAAAUAAACCUGUGAAUAGAAAGGUUAAUGUGAUGACAAACAUAUUCAAUGCAAUAAGAACCCUGUAAACAAUAUUACUGUUAAAAUAAUACUGCAAAACACGUUAUCAAUGCAUUCAUCAUAAGGCAGAUUAUAUAAUAAUCAAAUCAAAUCAAAUCAAAUCACCUUUAUUGUCACAUCACAUGUGCAGGUACACUGGUACAGUACAUGCGAGUGAAAUUCUUGUGUGCAAGCUUCACAAGCAACAGAGUUGUGCAAAAUACAAUAACGUGCAACAAGCAAAAUAUAAAA